UGAGUGUCUGUGUUUCUUCGCCGGGUGCGGUGGCGCGCGCCUAUAAUCCAAGCUACCGGGAGGCUGAGGCUGGCGGAUCGUUUGAGCUCAGGAGCUCUGUGCUGCAGCGGACUAUGCCGAGCGGGUGUCCGCACUAAGUUCGGUAUCGAUAUGGGUGCUCCUGGGGGAGCCCGGGACCACCAGGUCGUCUAAGGAGGGGUGCACCGGCCCAGGUCGGAAACGGAGCAGGUCAAAGCCCCCGUGCCGCUCAGUAGUGGGAUCGCGCCCGUGAGUAGACGCUGUAGCGCAGCCUGAGUAAUACAGCGAGACCCAGUCUUUUUACACUCAGCUCUACACUACUGUCACAACACACACACACACACACACACAUUAUAUCUUUACACCAACACAACAGCUUCAUCGCUGCUUCUUUAUCUUCUUGUUCCCGUCAGAACCUGCACACACCUGCUCAUCUGCUGCUCCUACACCACCUCCACCUGGAGGACAGCAGCUACUACACCAACCACACUCACCACUGCUCCUCAUGGAAGAGAAUACGCUUUUAUUGUCACUGUACAGUUAAGUACAACAAAAUUGUGGGUUUAUCUUCGUGGAGUCCUGCAGGUGGAGACAAACUAAAACUAUAAACAUUAAAGAGUUUCCUGUCGAGUUACUCAUGAACACACUUUUCCAUUCAGUGUUUUAAUGGAGAUAGUUUCGUUCUCUUUUGGUCAUUGAUCCAAGUAUCUGCAGAAUUGUAAUUUAUCAAUUAUAAACAUUAUUUUCAGUGUUUGAUUUUCAGGGCAGCAUUCAUUUAAACUUGAAUCAAAACGCCAAGGCUUAUAUAACAUGUACCUUUCUGACACUGCUUCCUCUGUUCUAGUAAAAGGUGGGUCCGUUUAGACCCACCUUGAAUCAUCAGAAACUUUCCUACAAGCUUUCUCUUUUUGCCUUCGUUUCAAGGAUCUUACAAACAAACAAGUCCAUCCUGCUUUCAGUAGUGCCAAAAUCCAAAAAGCAAUGCUAGGCGGAACAGAGUCAGCUGGCGUUUUUUUUUUUCUGCCGUUGUUGGCUUGCGUGUGUUGUCAUUGGUCACGAUCUUCUGGGAGGAGCGCAGAGAGGCGGAGAAACGACGCCGGAAAACAGAUUUAAACCAAACUGUUUGAAACGUUGCUUUGGUUUGUCAGUACGGUGAGAAAAUACCGAAGCCUGGAUGCUAAAACAAGCUUUGGAGUUGCUUUUUUUUUGUCGAAAACGAGUGAGGUUGGACGCUGAAUACACAUGCGGCGUGAAGGUAAGGCAAAGGAGCGAACUAACUAGUGGCUAGCGUUAGCAUUUACGGUAGCGUCGAGCGUUAGCAUUAGCCUCUUUUAAUGAACUGCUCUGACCUUCAGUCGUUUUUAUCGCGUGGGUAAGAGCGUGUUUGUUUGUUGUUGGUUCUUAAGGAUAUGAUGCUUUUUCUUGUGAUAUGUGACAGUAAACAGCCUAUUUUCUGAAACACUCCUAUUAUAUAUAUUGGGUUCACGAGAACGAGAGAUUUUAAUGCUAUCUUUAACUUCAGUUAUGAAUAUAUGAAUGCUCAUACAAAGAGCGCAGCAAUGUGUCCACAGAUGCAAACUGAACAGUACUACGUGUAUGACUGACUUAAUGUGAAACUAAUAAGACAGAACAGCCAUAAACAGUAAAAUUAGUGGAGUGUUCACUACUAUUGAUGUAAGAAGCAGCCAUCUUGGAUUCUUAUGUCGGGGUUGGUGGGUUGCUCCAACUUUCUCGGUUGGAAAUCCGAUUUCAUGGGACGUUCCGGUUGACUAGGAACUCAGAUAUUCCAACUUCUAAGCACAACUGGAACACAACAUAAUUUCAUUGGUUAUGCUAGUGGCAGCUUGAUACGGCGUCAUGAAACAGAUUUUCACCUUGCCAUGUCAUGUUUUAAUAGCGCGAGAUCUCGUCACACAUUUGUUUGGACUUGAUGCUGGAUUGAGCACAGUUUGGUGUUAAAGGCUUGCAAACUACAUUUUGACUCUGUGAUUUACAUUGCUUUUAUCCUUUAGGUCAGUCAAGUUUUAUUUGUAACUGUCAAGGCUUUAGUGUUUAGUUUUUGUGUUCUCCCACACUGUUUGGGUUGUAGUGGUAAAAAGUUUCCAUUACUAUUUCGUAUUAGUUAAUCAGUGUCAAGUGCUGUAUGUGUGUUUUCCAGGUCUACUUGUUCAGCUGUUCAAGCUUGGACAGAGACACCAACAUCACCUUACAGAACAACAGAUGUCACCACUUUGUCCAGGACAUCAUCCACAAUCGCAGAGACAUGGUCCAUGAUCAGAGAGACAUUGUUGAGGAUGAGGGAGACAUCGCCCCCUGUCCAUGAUCGCAGAGACCUUGUCAAAGAUGAGAGAGACGUUGUCCGUGAUCAGAGACAUUGUCCAUGCUUCGUAGAGACCUUGCGAUAGAAUUGGCGGAGACGGGGGUCACCGAUUUGACGGCAUUGCCUGCGAUCAGGGACAUUGUCCAUGACCACAGAUAAACCGUCUAUGAUAUCAGAGACAUCGUCCACAAUCACAAAGACAUAGUCCAUGAUCGCAGAGACAUUGUCCAUAAUCUCAGAGACAUUGUCCAUGAUCACAGAGACCUAGUCCACAAUCACAGAGAGUCUUCGUACAAUGAAGAAGUUCUUUCAAACCAAGACAGAGGCCCCCAGAUGUCACCACUUCGUCCAGGACAUCGUCCACAAUCGCAGACAUGGUCCAUGAUCAGAGAGACAUUGUUGAGGAUGAGGGAGACAUCGUCCAUGAGCAGAGACAUUGUCCAUGAUCGCAGAGACAUCCGCGAUCACAGAGCCGUAGUCCACAAUCACAGAGAUGUAGUCCAAGAUCACAGAGAGUCUUUGUACAAGUGAAGUUCUUUCAGACCAAGACAGAGGCCUCCAGGUGUCACCACUUCAUCCACGUUCGCAUUCAGAAAGCCAUUGUCGAUGAUCACAGAGACACCGUCUAUGAUCUCAGAGACAUCAUCUACGAUUAUAAGACACAAUAUAAGACAUUGUCCAUGAUUGCAGAGAUGUAGUCCAGGGUUAGAGAGUGUGUUUGUACAAGGAAGUUCUUUGAGACCAGGACAGAGGCCUCCAGGUAAUUCACAAACAGCUUUACAUCAACUGUCCAACACAGAGCACUGACACUAAAUUGUUUAUGUUCAGCAAUAAGUAUCAGAAAAGUGUAAUAAUAGAAGUAAUCUGCAAUAUAAAAAUAAUGUAUAAAAUAAUAAGUAAUGUAAAAGUAAUUAGCCAUAUCAGAAGUAAAGUGUAAGAGAAAGUAAUCUGUCACUAGAUGUAGUUUGCAACAGUAAAAGUUAUCUGUGAAUUUAGAAGUAAUAUAUAAUAAGAAAAGCAAUAUAUCUUCAGUUUGAUUGUACAUGAUCAGAAAUUCUUAAUUAUGUGUAUGUGCCUGACAUACUAGACAACACCAUAUAAAACAAUAUAAAUUCUACAAAUACAAUAUUGGAGUGAGUUGAUCAUUUUCCUUUGUAUCUUUCUCUUUGAUUUCCUCCACUUCAUCCUGUCACUGUCACUACUUCAUCCAUGACAUCAUCCAUGAUUGCAGAGAUGUCAUAAAUUUGUAAAAAAAAAAAAAAAAAGGAAUAUGAAAUGUGAAAAGUAAUCUAAUACUAGAGGUAACAGUAAAAGUAAUGUGUAAUAUAAAAGUAUGCAGAAAUUAUAGUAAUCCAAAAUAGAAGAAAAAAUGUCCAAUUUUAGUACAGCAUCAAAAAAUGUCAUAGUAUAAUAAGGCAACAUAAAUUGUAAAAAAAAAAAAUAUAUAAUAAGACAUAAAAACUGAGUGAAAAUUUGUCAUUUGAAAAACGUUUUGUUUUUUUUUUGUUUGUGGGAAAACUUGACAUCACCGUUUUUGGUGACGGCGACAGGCGGCAGGUCAUCGUUUGGAGUGAAAAAAGGUCAAAAUUUCAGGUCUAGAUUUUUCACCUAAAAACUACUCAGGGGCAUGUUUUAUGUCAUUUGAAGUGGAUUUGGACAGGUUUUGAGUGAAUUCUUUGACAAAGUUGACACCACAAUUUUUGAUGUGUGCGACAGGCGGCGGGUCAUCGUUUGGAGUGAAAAAAGGUCA
This is a long non-coding RNA of Lates calcarifer (barramundi perch), 4088 nucleotides long. RefSeq lists it as uncharacterized. The transcript is spliced from 4 exons. Lineage: Eukaryota; Metazoa; Chordata; Actinopteri; Centropomidae. The record is from RefSeq and is a predicted model, not a curated record.